RNAcentral lists this ribosomal RNA (1260 nucleotides) under Triticum aestivum (bread wheat). Its description in RNAcentral is "partial small subunit ribosomal RNA". The record is from RNAcentral. Lineage: Eukaryota; Viridiplantae; Streptophyta; Magnoliopsida; Poales; Poaceae.
AUGGAGGCUGCGGUGGCGGUGGCGGUGGAGGACGAGAACAAUAGGAAGGUGUUCGUCGUGGUGCCGGCGGAGCGCAGGGCGGGGCGGUCGACGCUGUCGUGGGCUCUCGGCCAUCUCUGCGGCGGAGCCACAGCCACCACGGUCGUCGUCACGCACGUGCACGUCCCGCCGCAGAUGAUCCCCGUCAUGGGAGCCAAGUUCCAUGCCAGCAAGCUGAGCUCGGAGCAGGUGAGCUCCUUCAGACGGAUGGAGCGCGACAAGGCGGACAAGAUGCUGGACGACUACGUCCAUGAGUGCCGGAAAACCAAGGUGAGGUGUGAGAAGCUGGUGAUUGAGAAGGAGGAUGUCGCGUCCGGCCUCGUCGAGCUCAUUGGCUUGCGCGGGAUCACCGAGCUGGUGGUUUCGGCUGCCGCGGACCGGCAGUACUCCACAAAACUUGACAGGCCUACUUGCAGGACAGCAGCAGCGAUAAUGCAGAGAGCUGAUCCAUCGUGCAAGAUCUGGUUCGUCUGCAAGGAGCAGUUAAUCUGCACAAGGGAAGCGAAAGUAGAGAUUGCAUCAUCUGCUGUCACUGCACCGUUGCUCCCUAAUCCUGGCCAUGAAGUCCUUCGUUUGUCAACUCACCAGGAAGAGGAUGAUGAUGACAUUGAGGUUGAAUUGGGGUUCUAUGAUGAACUCACGGAGGCAUGCAGAGCAGCCGAGGACCUGAUGAACAGAGCUCUAAACGAAUCCCGCAGGCGCCACAAGGCAGACGAAGAAGUGGCCACAUCUCUCCUGAAAGCCAAAGAGCACGAGGAGCUGUACCUGGAGGAGGUGAAGAAGAGGGAGGAGCUCGAGGCAGCCCUGGCGAGAGCAGAGAAAGAAAUUUCAGAGCUACGACAGGCAAUCCAGCGGGACACGGUCGAGGAGGAAUCCGGGGAGGCGACGGCGACGAUGUCGGCCCCGGGACUGCAAAGCACGAGCAAGGAAGAACCGGAGGCGGUGCUCUGGCACUGCCAGUGCCAGUGUCAGAGGAAGCUGGCCGCCUCGUCGUCUCCGUCCUCGGUCAUCAUACCAUGGUCGCCUCGUGCCGACGAAGAUGGGUUCACCUGCGAAGCCGGCGUGGCCGGGUGCUGCUGGCUCGACGGGAUGCCGUCGCCCGAAGGCGUGGCCGUCGCCGGCGUCGCCCUACCGCUCGCGCGCCCCAGUUUUGCCCUCCGUGCCGCGGUCGAGGAAUACACGAGGCGGCAGCAGCAGCAGCAGCGGUGCCCGUUUCCUUGA